UCAUGAACUUGGGUCUCAGUCGUUCAUUUUUCGUGUUCCUUCAGGAUUACUCACGUUUCUUGUUUAUGGUUUGACUACACCUACAUUUGAACUAGCACUUUGAAACCUAUUGGCUUUCAAUUUUGGUAUAUGUAGUUUGUUUUUGUUCAUUAUCUUAUGUUGUUCCCUGAUGGCACACUUUGCAGGUAUUUCAAAGGUUCUGAGCUUCUUGUUGAUUUACAAGAUUAUGACUAUUCUUUGGACUUGUGGAGUCUUGGUUGUAUGUUUCCUGGAAUGAUGGCAAGGAGGUUCAUAAUUUGAUACCAUGUCAAGAAUUGAACUGCUGUCUUGUGAUGCUUAUGCUUGAGCCUUGUUCUAUACAGAUAUUUAGUAAGAAGCCAUUUUUUUAUGGACGUGAUAACUAUGAUCUGCUAGUGAAAAUAGCAAAGGAGGCUUGCAACAACACUAGAGUAAUUGGUUCGUGAAGUGGAUCGAGGAAGAUUCCUGCAAAGUUUAUCUUGAAGUAGAGCAAAAUAACUAACUUGUAAAACUCAAGUAUCU
Molecule: long non-coding RNA, 540 nt
Organism: Rosa rugosa (rugosa rose)
Lineage: Eukaryota; Viridiplantae; Streptophyta; Magnoliopsida; Rosales; Rosaceae
Exons: 3
Source: RefSeq, a predicted model, not a curated record